GCUGGGGUGAUGGAAUUGGUAGACAUGCACGCUUGAGGGGCGUGUGGGCAACUUGCCCGUGGGGGUUCAACUCCCCCUCCCAGCACCA
Molecule: transfer RNA, 88 nt
Filed under: Candidatus Peribacteria bacterium
Lineage: Bacteria; Candidatus Peregrinibacteriota; Candidatus Peribacteria
Description: tRNA-Leu
Rfam family: tRNA
About the family: Transfer RNA (tRNA) molecules are approximately 80 nucleotides in length. Their secondary structure includes four short double-helical elements and three loops (D, anti-codon, and T loops). Further hydrogen bonds mediate the characteristic L-shaped molecular structure. tRNAs have two regions of fundamental functional importance: the anti-codon, which is responsible for specific mRNA codon recognition, and the 3' end, to which the tRNAs corresponding amino acid is attached (by aminoacyl-tRNA synthetases). tRNAs cope with the degeneracy of the genetic code in two manners: having more than one tRNA (with a specific anti-codon) for a particular amino acid; and 'wobble' base-pairing, i.e. permitting non-standard base-pairing at the 3rd anti-codon position.
Source: RNAcentral